This 253-nucleotide ribosomal RNA is filed under the name uncultured bacterium. Its description in RNAcentral is "partial 16S ribosomal RNA". It matches the Rfam family "Bacterial small subunit ribosomal RNA", at positions 524 to 776 of the family's 1533-position model. The record is from RNAcentral.
UACAGAGGGUGCAAGCGUUAAUCGGAAUUACUGGGCGUAAAGCGAGCGUAGUCGGUUAUUUAAGUCGGAUGUGAAAUCCCCGGGCUCAACCUGGGAAUUGCAUUCGAUACUGGAUAGCUAGAGUUCGGCAGAGGGAAGCGGAAUUUCUGGUGUAGCGGUGAAAUGCGUAGAUAUCAGAAGGAACAUCAGUGGCGAGAGCGGCUUCCUGGACCAGAACUGACGAUCAGGCUCGAAAGCGUGGGGAGCAAACAGG